RNAcentral lists this ribosomal RNA (305 nucleotides) under uncultured bacterium. RNAcentral's name for it is "bacterial SSU rRNA". It matches the Rfam family "Bacterial small subunit ribosomal RNA", at positions 335 to 638 of the family's 1533-position model. The record is from RNAcentral.
GGCCUACGGGACGCAGCAGUGAGGAAUAUUGGUCAAUGGGCGCGAGCCUGAACCAGCCAAGUCGCGUGAGGGAAGACGGUCCUAUGGAUUGUAAACCUCUUUUGUCGGGGAGCAAAAAGGCCUCGUGAGGCCACAAGUGAGAGUACCCGAAGAAAAAGCAUCGGCUAACUCCGUGCCAGCAGCCGCGGUAAUACGGAGGAUGCGAGCGUUAUCCGGAUUUAUUGGGUUUAAAGGGUGCGCAGGCGGGCUGUUAAGCCGGCGGUAAAAAUUCAGGGCUCAACCCUGUCGAGCCGUCGGAACUGGCA